Molecule: ribosomal RNA, 512 nt
Filed under: uncultured bacterium
Lineage: Bacteria
Description: partial 16S ribosomal RNA
Rfam family: Bacterial small subunit ribosomal RNA
Source: RNAcentral
UGGGGAAUAUUGGACAAUGGGCGCAAGCCUGAUCCAGCCAUGCCGCGUGAGUGAUGAAGGCCCUAGGGUUGUAAAGCUCUUUCACCGGUGAAGAUAAUGACGGUAACCGGAGAAGAAGCCCCGGCUAACUUCGUGCCAGCAGCCGCGGUAAUACGAAGGGGACUAGCGUUGUUCGGAAUUACUGGGCGUAAAGCGCACGUAGGCGGACAUUUAAGUCAGGGGUGAAAUCCCGGGGCUCAACCCCGGAACUGCCUUUGAUACUGGGUGUCUAGAGUUCGAGAGAGGUGAGUGGAAUUCCGAGUGUAGAGGUGAAAUUCGUAGAUAUUCGGAGGAACACCAGUGGCGAAGGCGGCUCACUGGCUCGAUACUGACGCUGAGGUGCGAAAGCGUGGGGAGCAAAACAGGAUUAGGAUACCCUGGUAGUCCACGCCGUAAACGAUGGAAGCCAGCUGUCGGCAAGUUUACUUGUCGGUGGCGCAGCUAACGCAUUAAGCUUCCCGCCUGGGGAGUAC